UAACUUACUUGGCGCGGAGGAUACCGUGAUCACGAAGGCGGUUCCUUCUGGGCGAGGCUCUUCCAUUGCACUUAGGUAGAGCUGAACCUUGCGAAUACUCCUAAUGUGGGUAUGUCGAGCGCACAAUUUUUGGUAGUCGGGACCUGCGUUCGCGCUGUCCCGGA
Molecule: small nuclear RNA, 164 nt
Filed under: Apis mellifera (honey bee)
Lineage: Eukaryota; Metazoa; Arthropoda; Insecta; Hymenoptera; Apidae
Also listed under: 2 other names
Description: U1 spliceosomal RNA
Rfam family: U1 spliceosomal RNA
About the family: U1 is a small nuclear RNA (snRNA) component of the spliceosome (involved in pre-mRNA splicing). Its 5' end forms complementary base pairs with the 5' splice junction, thus defining the 5' donor site of an intron.
Source: RNAcentral